Long non-coding RNA from Harpia harpyja (harpy eagle), 1052 nucleotides. RefSeq lists it as uncharacterized. The transcript is spliced from 3 exons. The record is from RefSeq and is a predicted model, not a curated record. NCBI's taxonomy places the organism in Eukaryota, Metazoa, Chordata, Aves, Accipitriformes, Accipitridae.
AAAAUACAUUAUAUAGUUGCAGCUAGAACCAGUCAAAAAACUGACAAAUCUGUUUUCCAUUAGUGCAGUGAAAUUGUAGAUUGGGGAAAAAUAUUUACAUGGAAUAAUUUUAUGUUUCUUCAUUUUGAUAUCGCAGAAGCAUUUUAUUUACAAUAAGGUGGCCAUGUUUCAUUUUGAUGUAUGCUGUAAACAGCAACUCUUGUGACUCAGGCCACCUGCAAGGUUUCUUAUUUUGUUUUCCUAGGUUACUUUUCAAAAAAGCCAUUUACAACAGUGUCUCACCAUACUGGGCUGUGACAUCAUGGCCAGAGAGCGCAGCAACUUUGAGACCUACUCCAUGUUUUAUGAAAAUACUCUCCAGCAGCAGCACGGUUUACUUUACCAAAAAGAACAAGAGCUGCACGACGUGGAAGAAGGUGGCAACCAAAGUGAUACGGCUCUGACGCAGGGAAAGUUGGAUGUCUAUCGCCUUAGCAUUGAGCAACGAGUGUUUGAAAUCAUCAGUUAACUGAGGAGUUGACAAUAUGAUUGAUCUGCAGAAAAAGUUUGGCUCCACUAAAAAUAAUGGUGACUUGAAAGGACAUUUGUCUAAAGUAAGGAAAUACAUAUGUGUGUCAGUAAAUGAACACAAGGAUAAUACCCUGGUUAAGCUUGCUGAGGCUUAAGUUACUGCAUUCUGCCUGGGACGUUGGUUGGGUGAAGAGCAUGGAGGUGGUCCAUUACUAGACUCUGUUAAUGGCUACUCAUUUGUCAGGCUGUCAUGAAUCAAUCAUCUUUGACUACGUGUUUAUGCUCCAAGUACAGAAAUUUUGGGCCAAACCCAGCCCUUAAGCCCUAAACAACUACAUGUAUUUGAAUUGAAUUUGGUUCUAAACUUAGGAACUCUGCUUUCAGUCUGUUCUGAGUGAAACUAACACCGUGCUUUCUAUGCAGGUGAACGUCAGAGAGGUUGAACUUGGAACUGAAGAAGUAUAAAUGUGAACUCACUUUCAAUCAUAUGUCAGCAUUGUCCUGUGUUGUCAUCGUCCCUUUUUUGGGUGGGGGAAAGAGAA